AAAGGCUUGGAUCUGAGUUUACAAUGCAAUGGGUUCCAAUACAUAAGGUGCAACUCUUUGGGCCCCCGUGAGGAUGCCCUGAAUUCUCCACCCGAGAACGGAGCGGGCAUCAGCACGAUAACCCUCAGCCCAAGACGCCUUGCUUAUGCCACACCCCCAAGGGAAACAGCAGUAGUAAACAUUAAGCCAUUAGUGAAAACUUGACUUAGCCAGGACUAAGAGAGUCGGUAAAUUUCGUGCCAGCCACCGCGGUUAUACGAAAGGCUCCAGUUGAUAAGUGCGGCGUAAAGGGUGGUUAGGAAGCACAUAAAAUAGAGUUAAGAGACCUCCAGGCUGUUCAACGCCCAUGUGAGGCCUGUAAGCCCACACACGAAAGUGGCUCUACCACAAUUGUCCGACCCCACAAAAAUUGAGAAACAAACCGGGAUUAGAUACCCCGUUAUGCUCAAUCGUAAACCAAGAUGUAAAUUACAAACAAUUCCGCCAGGGUACUACGAGCAUGGCUUAAAACCCAAAGGACUUGGCGGUGCCUCAGACCCACCUAGAGGAGCCUGUUCUGUAACCGAUAACCCCCGUUAAACCUCACCACCUCUUGUAAAUACCGCCUAUAUACCGCCGUCGUCAGCCCACCCUGUGAAGGAACAGCACCAAGCAAAAUGGACACACUCAAAAACGUCAGGUCGAGGUGUAGCUUAUGAGAUGGGAAGAUGAUGGGUACAUUUUCUAUGUAUAGAAUACCACGGAUAGCACUAUGAAAUAACGCCUGAAGGAGGAUUUAGUAGUAAAAAGAAAUUAGAGAGUUCUUUUGAAUCUGGCUCUGAAGCAUGCACACACCGCCGUCACCCUCCCCA
This 851-nucleotide non-coding RNA is filed under the name Callichthys callichthys (cascarudo). RNAcentral's name for it is "partial 12S ribosomal RNA". It matches the Rfam family "Bacterial small subunit ribosomal RNA", at positions 282 to 1408 of the family's 1533-position model. The record is from RNAcentral. Lineage: Eukaryota; Metazoa; Chordata; Actinopteri; Siluriformes; Callichthyidae.